UAAUCAUGUCUUCCUCGCCAGUCUCCAGGGCAUCCGCAACCGCCCGGGGCUCCAUGGUCUCCGGAACCUGCCCGGCAAAACCCGGGCCCGGAAGACGCCAGCCGCGGAGCCCGCCGGCCCCACCCUGGCCAGGGAGCUCUGCGUCGGCGCGCGACGGACGCCGGGACCCGCUGCGUGGGGCGGGGCCUCAGGCUGCGCGGCUUAAGGUGGCUGGGCCGAGCAGGUGUGGCCCGAGGCACGGCGACCGCAAGGCUUGGCCUCCAAAGCAGCCCGACUUGGCGACCUGCCGACCUCGGUCCGCGUGGUCCGGGGAUCGAACAGCGACCCCUCCUCUGUGCCCCGGCGUCUUGGGUGCGAGUGUCCGACAGGAGAGGCGCUCAGACCGAACGCAACAGGCUGACCUGCGAGGCCGCGGCGGGGACUUGGCCGUCCGGAGCCGCUUGCUCGCUCAGACUGCAGUCUCUCGAGCGCCUCCCGCGUACGAGACGCGGGGGAUGCGGGUGGACGAGACUUGGCGGUCUCUGCCUUCGUGGAGCUCGCGUUCCAGAGGGGAAGAGAGGGGAAAACAAACAAGGCGGCUUGAGGCGCUCAUAGUACCAAGGUUAUUUUUUAAAAGGUGUCCGGUGGCCUGCAGCGGGCCUGAGGAAGUCCCAUUUUUGAGGAGACAGGACAGUAGGAAGUAGGCAAGGAAAGAUCUGGAGGAAGGCACGGCCAAGCAGAAGGAGCAGCAGGUGCAACGGUGGGGUGGACUGGGCAGGAGAGAAGGUGGGGAGCGGGAAAGGAGAGCAAGGUGAAAGCCAAGCCUGACCGUGGCCUGGCCUGGACUUAGUUCCCUUCUGAAAGCAGAUAUUUUUAAAGAAAGGUGCCACGUCGAUGGGCUGUCCUGAGGAUUAAAGGACACACAGGCAGUGCUCCAUUUGGUGGGCACAGCGCGCUCACUCUUAACGAGCGGUCAGCGAGCACCUGCUCUGUGCCAGGCUCUCGCGAGUGCCGGUCCAAGGCUCCUACGGCCCCACAUCCAUCCUUACUUCAUUUCUUUCGGUAGUUCUUCACACCUGCGUAUUAUGCAGUGUCUUCGGCACCCAUCUCCACUUUACAGAGACGGUUACCUUGCUCUGGUAGUGCCAGGCUCGCACCCAAUUCCACUCUAACCUCCCCAACCUGCUAGAACGCCCAACCCGGAUCGCUCCUGGGUCCAGCUCCUACCUGUGAGCUUCUGGCCGGAAGAACGCCGCUGACAGAUCACAUCCGGGCAAUAAGAGCACCAACCAACAGAAGGUCGUGAGAGCGGACGGCCCUCCCCUUUCGUCAUUUCCGUUCCCACGCGAUACUGCCCAUAGGCCGGAAGUCGGAAGAGCUUGAGGUAAAAGGGGCGUGGCCUCUGAGAGGCGGAGCCGGGUGCCUCUUGAGGUGUAGGAGCCACGUCUUCGGCGCGGUUGGCCGAGCUGGGCACAAGCUGUGAGGCUGGAGCGGGGCGCGAUGGCGGACUGGACUCGAGCUCAGAACCCUGGUGCUGUGGAGGAGAUUCUAGACCGGGAGAACAAGCGGAUGGCCGACAGCCUGGCCUCCAAGGUUACCAGACUCAAAUCGCUGGCCCUAGACAUCGAUAGGGAUGCAGAAGAUCAGAACCGGUACCUGGACGGCAUGGACUCGGAUUUCACAAGCAUGACUGGCCUGCUCACUGGAAGCAUGAAGCGCUUUUCCACGAUGGCACGGUCUGGGCGAGACAACCGGAAACUUCUGUGUGAAAUUGAGGCCAAGAAUGACAAGCAGCUGAAGACAGACUUAACCCGCAGAGAAACUCAGAUCCACAAGGUGGAGGACAGGAAGAGCAACCAGGUCCUUCCUGCAAACUUUUGUGAAUUCAAGAGAAAAAUGAGAACCUGGCCUCCAGCCCUCCUCCUUUGCCUCUCUCACCUCAAUCUGGUCACCUGCAGCUUCCCCCAGAUCUAUCAGCCAGCUGCUGGAGCACGAGGAGGCACACAUCACACCUGCAGAAAGCAGGAAGCCUCCUUCAGCUCACUGAAUUGGAGGGCAGUGCUGCUGUGAGCAUGGAUCAACUUACAUCAAACAGUGACCACUUCAGGCCUGUGGAUCCAGUGAGGUUCCUGUGUCCAAGACUGUCAGAAUGGAUGAUCUCCACCCAGUCCUGAGUCCUGAGUCUGUGGCAACGAACAGUGUCCUCUUGAUUCUGUAGCCAGGACUCAAUCACAGUGAACGUUGUACACCCAGCCCUAUGUGUACAGAAUUCUCAGUCAUAGUGGACUGUGUGUACCUGGUCCCAUGCUCAGAAUUCUUAGUCACAGUGCACUGUACGCACCCAGCCCUGUCCAGGACUCUCAGUCACAGUCUCUUUGUGUUCAGAAAUCUCAGUCAUGUUGGACAUGUGUACCCAGCCCUGUGUGUCCAGGUUUCUCAGUCAGAGUGGACUUUGUACACCCAGCCCUGUGUAUCCAGGACUCUCACUCAUAGUGGACUGUGUGUUCCUGAUCAGGUGUUCAGGAUCCUCACUCAUAGUGGACAGUGUGCACUCUGCCCUGUAUGUCCAGGAUUCUCAGUCACAGUGAACAGUGUGUGCCUAGUCUUAUGUGUUCAGGACUAUAAGUCACAGGAUAGUGUGCAUCCAGACCUGUGAGUCCAGGACUCUCAGUCAGACAGUGUGCACCCUACCCUGUGUCCAGGAAUCUUAGACACAAUGGAUUGUGUGCACUCUGUCGUUUGUGUCCAGGCUUUUCAGUCACAGUGGACAGUAUGUACCCAGUCCUGUGCAUCCUGGACUCUUAGUCACAGUGGAAGUCUCCAUCUAGCCCUGUGUUAAGGAUUCUUCUGCAGUGGACAACAUUGUCCCAGUCCUGUGUCCAGGACUCUCAGUCACAGUAGACAGUGUGUACUCAGCUAAAUAUGUCUAGGAUUCUCAAAGUGGACAGACUCUACCUGGUUUUGUGUCCAGGACUCUUUCUGCGGUAGUCAGUGUGCAUCCAUUCCUAUGUGGUGAGGACUCUCAGUUGCAGUAGGUACACCCAGCCCUGUGUGUCCAGGAUUCUCUCACACUGGACAGUGUGCUCCUGGUCCUGUGUUAAGGAAUCUUACUCACAUUGGACUGUGUGCACCCAGACCUGUAUCCAAGACUGAACUGCAAUAGACAACAUUCUCCCAGUUUUGUGUCCAGGGUUCUCAGUGGACAGUGUGCACUUGGUCCUAAGUCCAGGAUUCUCACAGUGGACAGUUUGUAUCUGGUCCUGUGUUUCCAGUACUCUCAGUCACAGUGUCAGUGUCCUUCUGGCCCUGCAGUUCCAGAUGUAUUCUCCUGGCACUGUUUCUCCCUCAUCAUACCCACAGGAUGUCCCCAUGGGGGUGGACAGCAAAGCCCUUCUCCUAUGGGAGAACUGUUGAGUGGCCUAAUAUGGGGACAGAUGUGGCUGCCUAGAAUCCAGGGCUGGAAGUGAGGGCAUUGUGCACAUUCUCCUUCAUGGCAGCUCAGCUGCCUGGAAUCAGGGAGGUGGCAGGGCAGCAGACAGACACAGGCAGGGCAGCGGGGAAGCCAGGAGAGAAGAGAGUCACACUGGGUUAGGGUUGAGUUUGGAUGGAGACUUGGUUUAGGAUAAAGUUAGUGUUUAGAGCUUACCCAGCAAGAAUGAGGCCUCCACUUUCCCUCUUUGACAAAAUGACUGCAUCCAGCAUGAAUCCACACCUCCUAUUCGGCACCAGAGCCCUGCUGCUUCCAGUGUAGACAUGAGGGAGCAAAGUGAGUCCUGGGUCAACUGAGUAUAAAUAGAAAACCAUGUUCUCAGUCAGCAGAAGGUAGAGUAGGAAGCUGUGUCCUGAGUCAGCUGAGUGUAGAUAUAAAACAUAGUCCAGUGAGUAUAGAUAGUAGGGAAACAAAUCCUGCCAGGUUGAUGUAGAGAGGAGGAAAAUGUGUUCUGAGUCAGCUGAGUGUGUACUUGAAUUGGACACUGCCUGACCCUAGCCCCAACCCUUACCUAACCCUAAACUUGACCACUAUGAUUGUCCUAAGUCAGAUGAGUAUAGACAAGAGGAACCCAUGUCCUGGGUCAGCUCAGUGUAGACAGUAGGAAACUGUCCUGAUUGUGGUGAGUGCAGAUGGUAGAAACUGUUUAGAGUCAACCAAGUGUAGAUAGGAAGGAACCAUGUUUUGAGUCUACUGAGUGCAGGAAGGAAGAAACUGCAUGCUUAGCUGAGUAUAGAUAGAAGGAAAAAGGUCUGUCAUGCAGUAUGUGAGUGUAGACAGUAGGACAGUAUAUCCUGAGUCUGCUGAGUCUAGUCAGGAGGAGGGCUCUAUGUCCAGAAUGUUCUGAGUUAGACAGGAGGGAAUCAUGUUUUGAGUCUGCUGAGUGUAGAAAGGAGGAAACUGCAUGCUUAGCUGAGUAUAGAUAGGAGGAGAAAGGCCUGUCUUGCAGUAUGUGAGUGUAGACAGUAGGACAGUAUAUCCUGAGUCUGCUGAGUCUAGUCAGGAGGAGGGCUCUGUGCCCAGAAUGCUCUGAGUGUAGACAGGAGGGCACUGUGUCCUGAGUCUACUGAGUGUAGACAGGAGCAGGCCAUGAGCUGAUUCAACUUAGUGUAGUUAGAAGGAAACUGUCCUCAGUCUUCUGGGUGAAGACAGGCAUGGGACACAGUCCUGGGUACACACAGCAUUCUGGCCCUGCCAGAACUCUUUAGGCUCUGUGCCCCUGAGCUCCAUCAGACCUCCUGUGAGGGGUGUUGGGCUGGGUACUUCUGCAGGGAGGCUUCCUGUGGAAUCACAGAGGCUCUCAGAUCUGUCCUCUUCCUGCUCUACAUAGUGACCACAGCGGUGAACAGCACUUCCCUGUGAUGGUUUCUAUACUUCAUCUGAACUGGAAUGACCCUAAUGAGGCACUCUUAAGAACUACUCAACAUCAUUAAGUACAGAACUCUGGGUCUCCUCAUGCAUAAAGGAGCUGCAAAUACCUUUGCCGCUUUCACACAGGCAGUUGGAGAGUCUCUCUAUGGGAAAGCACUUUGAAAUUUGCUGAAGUGUUUAAAUGACUAGCAGAAAACUCAGGAAAAACUAUUUAAAAAGUCCCAGAGCAAACAUCAUUUCUCUGAUGAUCCUCACAGAUACUUGAGUAAAGAAGCAAGUCAGUCAAGUCUUGUAGAUCUCUCUGCUAGCUCUUCUCCACACUUACCUCUUGGGGAGGAGACCAGAGUCUUGACCCCUUGACCUGCAUACAGGUGACCAGUGACUGGUGCAGCCUGGGUUUUGGAGGGUCUCUUCAGUAAUGUCCCAGAGUCUCCACUUGCUCCUCUCCCUGCCCAGGUGGAAAUUCCUCGUGUGCCACCAAGCCUCUGGAGUCCUGAGGGCUCUGAUCACACCUGGGCUCCUCAGGGAUUCUGCCAGCAUGGGGUUAGGCACUGUCCAACAGAGACCUUGGCAGUCAGUGCACCUGGUCUCUCUGCGUGUCAGCCCCUGAGGACCCUGGACUGCGCCACUCUGCUCCAGGGCCCCUCCCCUGGCCCAUGCCCUCCAGUUCCUCCCUGGUCUUUCCCCAUGGCCCCCAGCUCCCCACCCACUCCAGGCUCUUCCUGUCACCCCUCCUCUGUCCCAGGCUCUCCUGGCCACCCCCUGCUCCACUCCAUCCCCUGUCCUGCCCUGUUCCUGGCCCUCCCUAGUCCUAGUACCCCAGGCUCUCCAGUCCCUGCUUCCAUAGCCUGCCUGUUGCCCCAGCCCCACCUCCCACCUGUGGUCCUCCAAUCAGCUGGGGCCUCUGGUUGCUCCGUGCCUUCUACCCUUUCUUUGGCCCCUGGUUCUUUCCAUCAACCUUCCUGCCCAACAUCAGCUCUUUCUGCCCCUUUUGCCUAUCUUCAACCCUCUCCUUAGACACUGAUGAGGCUACUCAGCUCUCUAUGCACCAGCAUUCAGGCUCAGCUGCCCUGGGCUCCUCCUGUCUAUUCUCAGCCCUCUUCCUACAUACUCAGGCCUUCCAAGACCUCCUAGGUCCUUUCUGUCCUGUUUUUGAACCCUAUUCUUGAUUUUUGUUCUUUCUGUAUACAUUUCAAACCUGGUAUACAUUUCAAACCCUAGGAUCCACUACUUCUCACUGCUCAUUACAUUCCGGGCCUUGGCUGAAUCCUACCUUCUGGAGGAGUCUCCACUGACCAUGCAGCUGUCAUUUCUGUGGCUGUGCAUCUCUGAGGAGUGCAGUCUGCUUGACAGCUUCACUCAGACCCAGCAAGCUCUGGAGCUAUCUGAACAGGUCCCUGUGAACUGAAAUGUAGCAAGGGCCCACCCUCGAUGACCCAUCAUGAUAUCCAAUCAGGUUCCUCACCCUCCAUCCUCUCCAGGUAAUGUCUAAUUACCCCAAUAUCUGACCAAACCCCUCACCCUCCCCAAGGCACACAGAGCUUCCAGGGCUGCAGAUCCUCUGCUCUGAGGGCUGAAUAAGCAGAAUAUUAGACUAUACUACCCAGAAUCUUUGGGGACCUGAGUGUUCUAGGGGCCUGAAUCUUCCAGAAGCCAUCAUGAUGAGGGCUACCUGGGUGGAACAAGGGAGUACAGUGUCCAGAAUCCCUGGGGAUGCCCAGGUGAAUAUGCUUCCUGUGGUUCCUAGGGGCCUCUGUGGUGAGGUUUACAUUGGCAGAACACUGAAAUGUACUACCCAGGAGCCUUUUGGGCAGAAUGACAGAAUACAAUCCCCAGAAUCCCUGUGGAGGCAGGGUCCAGGUGAGUAUGAGGGCUGCAUUGGUAGAAUACCAGAUGACACUACCCAGAGGCCAGUAACUUCCAGAGGCCAUCACAGUGAGGACUGCAUGGUCAUAACACUGGACUACCACUACUACUGUCCAGAAUCUAUGGGCAAGCCUGGGUGAAUGUGCCCCUGUGGCUCCUAGAGACCUCUGUGGUCAGGGGUACAUGGGCAGAGCACUGAAACAUACUACCCAGCAUCCUUAGGAGUGCACGGCUCCUAGGAGCUUUUGGGGAAGGGUGGGAGGAGGUAUUGGUGGGCAGAACAGACUAUAUUCCCCAGAUCCCCUGGGUCGGGGCAGGGCCCAGGUGAAUAUGAGGGCUGCAUUGGUAGAGCACCAGACUGCACUACCCAGAAUCCCCAGGGAUACACAGCUCCCUGGAGCCUCUGCAGUGAGGUGGGUGAUGACAGGAGAACUGCAUACCUAGAAACUUAAGGGGCCCACAGCUCACAGGAGUUUUUGCAGAGAGGUAGGAGGAGGUCACAGGCAGGAACAUGGAGUACAGGGAAGGCAGAUGUUCAGCCUGCAGCUCCCAGAAGCCUGAGUGCAGAUCCUCCUCACCUUGAUACUGUUGACUGGUCAUGAUCCUAAAAUGGAGAAAAUCCUUGGCAAAGUAACUGUCUCAAAGACUACGCUUCCCAGAGGCUUCUGUUUCCAGCCUGUGGUCCAACACUUGGGUGCACAGAACAUGAGUCCGUUGCAUCCUGUGGGCAGGUGCUUACUUAUGUGCACCUGCUGAACGUUAUUCCUCUACCUACCUCCUCCAUGGCUUCAGCUGUCCUUGGAGGCACUGGGUGCGGAGGAUGGAGCUUAGGGAUAUGGUCUCCUUGAAUGUACCCUUGCAGUGAUGUAACAGACAAAUACAAGACAUCAGGUACAGCAGUGGGAACAGAUUUUAUUAGGUAACUAGUCACGAUAGAGGAAAUACCUGAGCUCCAUUAUGAUCUGUGCAGAGCUAAUUUGGGUAUUAUAAAGGGGAAAGGAGAGUUAGGGAAGAGUAUGAUCUUGGAAGUCGGUGAAGUAAAAAAUAGAGUUGGCCACUGUAAAUGCAAUUAGGCCAGCUGUGUUUGUGGCAGUUGUCUAAGAAUUCUGUCUUCCCACAGAGACUGGGAGAGAGACCCUCUCCUGCUUGAUGAUUAUAUUUCAAGAGAAUGGCUCUCAGGCUCUGAGAGAGGCAUGUUUCCAAUUGAAAGCCCUUUCUAUUAAAUAAUUGGUCAAAGGGAGGUCAGGGGCUGUCAUCAGGUGUUGGUUAGGAGUCCAUAAGUCUUCCUGGCAGCCUUGAGCUUUCCUCAGGCAGUUGUUUUAAUGGAGGUGGUGGAGGUGAGGGUGUUGCACAUAGGCACAGACUAUGCUGAGUCCCUGAGCUCCGGGGAUUUUCUUCCAGCAGGGUGUGUGGACUUGGGGGAACAACCAUCUGCCCACGUGCCUCAGGAAGACUGGGCACGAACAUUCACCACCAGGAAGGUCCCCCAGACUCAAGGGGACAGUGGCAGUGACUGCUGAGUCUUGGACUGCUAUGGGGAAUGCCAGUUCUCAACCCUCCCAGGAAACAUGCAGAGUCCUGGACCAUCCUGUCUUGGCCUGUGGCCUUUUCUGUAGCCAGGGGACCUGGAGUUCUAGCAAGGAGAUGCCUAUAAGGGAGGCACAGUUGGAGACAUGGGCUAUGGGAGGGCAUUUUGCUUCCUCCUGUUCUGAACAGGCAGUGUGCUAAUGCUGAAAGUCAGAAUCCUGACUCAGCCAGCUGCAUCAUGCCCAUUUUGGGGAAAUGGACUGAAGACACUGGAGCUGACCCUUGACUGGGGCUAGGCCUCCUAAGAAGAAGUGCCUAUGCAAUUAUCAGAGGCCCUACAUGAAAACAGGAGUUCCCUCCUCAGCUCCUGAACUCAACCCCUGUGGGAGAGAGAUCCACCCUCAGCAUCCUGACAACCAGCCCCUCCCUUCCUCUCUCCCCUCCAGGUUCUCUCUGGCAAGUGUUGCCCUGUGGGGCUCCUGCAGUUGCCUCCCAUCUGGCUGUCCUUGCCCAGGAGUUUCCUAUGGGCAAAGAUGCUUGCCUGGGUCUUUCUCCCUGUGUUCUCCUGAGUUUAUCACCUGUUUCUAUAGGCUUUUUGAUACAGGACCCAAUUUGCCCCACAGUGGGGCACAGAGUAAGUGUAAGCCAGGUGGUCUGAGUGUGGACUAGAGCAGAGGCCUAGGGGAGAUCAGAGACCCCCAGGACCUCCAUGGCAAAAAUGUUCUGCAAUUCUCUUAUUCACUCACCUACUGAAGUAAUGUCUGGUUUAUUAAGUACUUGGCCAUUGUGAGCAGAACUGCUGUGUGUAAUUGCAUGCUGAAUGUAGACACAUUUUCAGAUCUGUUUUUGAGGCAGUCGUGUCAAUUGUUAGGAUCAAGAAUGUUGAGUCCUAUGGUGAGACCACAUUUAACUCUGGAAAACUGCCAAGCUCUUUAUUAAAGUGGUGAAUUACUGUGCCCUCCAGCAGCAAUACAUGUGAACUCCUAUUUUACACAAAAUUGAUAUUGCAUCAUGAAGGUCUUAUCCAUUGAUAGGUGCUUGGUGCCAUGGGAUUUCUGGAUUCCAGGUCUUUAGGAACAUGAAAUGUCCUAAAGUGUCUUAGUCACCUCAUCCUCAGGACAAGUGGUGCUCACAUCAUUUCCUGUGCUGCUUUGCCAUCUGCAUUUAUCCUCUGCAGAAUGUUUUCUCCAGUGCUUCAGCUGUCUGACUGGUUCUGGGAUCCAGAUGUUGAGUCUAAGGCUUGUGCUCUUGCAGUCAGUGUCAUCUCUUCUGGGCUUAGAGAAGUGAGUGUUGUGCUGAAUGUGCAGAUCAAGCUUGAGAGAAUGCCAUCUUAACAUUGAGUCUAACAUCCUGAUCAAGGAGUAUCUGUGCACAUAUUUGUAUUUAAUUUUCUUUUUUUCUACUUUGUUUCAAGUUUUUCUGAAAGUACAAUUGUACUUUAAGACAUAUUUAAGGACAUUGGU
Molecule: RNA transcript, 9696 nt
Organism: Sciurus carolinensis (gray squirrel)
Lineage: Eukaryota; Metazoa; Chordata; Mammalia; Rodentia; Sciuridae
Gene: Bet1l
Gene name: Bet1 golgi vesicular membrane trafficking protein like
Exons: 8
Source: RefSeq, a predicted model, not a curated record